Molecule: ribosomal RNA, 269 nt
Filed under: uncultured bacterium
Lineage: Bacteria
Description: partial 16S ribosomal RNA
Rfam family: Bacterial small subunit ribosomal RNA
Source: RNAcentral
UUGCUAUCUUAGUGGCGGACGGGUGAGUAACGCGUGGGUAACCUGCCUUGCACUGGGGGAUAACACUUAGAAAUAGGUGCUAAUACCGCAUAACAGGAGAAGACGCAUGUCUUUUCCUUAAAAACUCCGGUGGUGUAAGAUGGACCCGCGUCUGAUUAGCUUGUUGGCGGGGUAACGGCCCACCAAGGCAACGAUCAGUAGCCGGCCUGAGAGGGUGAACGGCCACAUUGGGACUGAGACACGGCCCAAACUCCUACGGAAGGCAGCAG